This 494-nucleotide ribosomal RNA is filed under the name uncultured bacterium. RNAcentral describes it as "partial 16S ribosomal RNA". It matches the Rfam family "Bacterial small subunit ribosomal RNA", at positions 28 to 507 of the family's 1533-position model. The record is from RNAcentral.
GACGAACGCUGGCGGCGCGCUUAACACAUGCAAGUCGAACGGAAAGGCCUGCUUUCCCUUGUGGAUUGCGGGUACUCGAGUGGCGAACGGGUGAGUAACACGUGAGUGAUCUGCCCCCAACUUGGGUAUAAGCCUGGGAAACUGGGUCUAAUUCCCGAUAGGACUGCAGGGUGGUGCCUGUGGUGGAAAACGAUUUUCUAGUGGUUGGGGAUGAGCUCGCGGCCUAUCAGCUUGGUGGUGGGGUAAUGGCCUACCAAGGCGGCGACGGGUAGCCGGCCUGGGAGGGUGGACGGCCGCAUUGGGACUGGGAUACGGCCCAGACUCCUACGGGAGGCAGCAGUGGGGAAUAUUGCACAAUGGGCGGAAGCCUGAUGCAGCGACGCCGCGUGGGGGAUGACGGCCUUCGGGUUGUAAACUCCUUUCGACCGCGAGGAAGCCACCUGGUUGGAAGGGUGGUGACGGUAGUGGUAGAAGAAGCACCGGCUAACUACGUG